RNAcentral lists this ribosomal RNA (253 nucleotides) under uncultured bacterium. RNAcentral's name for it is "partial 16S ribosomal RNA". It matches the Rfam family "Bacterial small subunit ribosomal RNA", at positions 524 to 776 of the family's 1533-position model. The record is from RNAcentral.
CACGUAGGGUGCGAGCGUUGUCCGGAAUUAUUGGGCGUAAAGAGCUCGUAGGCGGUCUGUUGCAUCGGUUGUGAAAACCUGGGGCUCAACUCCAGGCCUGCAAUCGAUACGGGCAGACUAGAGUUCGGUAGGGGAGACUGGAAUUCCUGGUGUAGCGGUGAAAUGCGCAGAUAUCAGGAGGAACACCGGUGGCGAAGGCGGGUCUCUGGGCCGAAACUGACGCUGAGGAGCGAAAGCGUGGGGAGCGAACAGG